This 74-nucleotide transfer RNA is filed under the name Planctomycetota bacterium. RNAcentral describes it as "Planctomycetes bacterium tRNA-Arg". It matches the Rfam family "tRNA". Rfam says of the family: Transfer RNA (tRNA) molecules are approximately 80 nucleotides in length. Their secondary structure includes four short double-helical elements and three loops (D, anti-codon, and T loops). Further hydrogen bonds mediate the characteristic L-shaped molecular structure. tRNAs have two regions of fundamental functional importance: the anti-codon, which is responsible for specific mRNA codon recognition, and the 3' end, to which the tRNAs corresponding amino acid is attached (by aminoacyl-tRNA synthetases). tRNAs cope with the degeneracy of the genetic code in two manners: having more than one tRNA (with a specific anti-codon) for a particular amino acid; and 'wobble' base-pairing, i.e. permitting non-standard base-pairing at the 3rd anti-codon position. Lineage: Bacteria; Pseudomonadati; Planctomycetota. The record is from RNAcentral. RNAcentral also lists the same sequence under 1 other name.
ACCCCGGUAGCUCAGUUGGAUAGAGCACGCGCCUUCUAAGCGCGUGGUCGGCGGUUCGAAUCCGCCCCGGGGUG